AGACCAUGAUGAGGACACUCUAGGAGAAGGUCUUUGAAACGUUCCAUGCAUCGAGAAAAUGAUUCGUUGGGUUUUUGGCGAAAUUGAAGAAUGUCGUUCCUUAGUUU
Molecule: small nucleolar RNA, 107 nt
Organism: Cephalotus follicularis
Lineage: Eukaryota; Viridiplantae; Streptophyta; Magnoliopsida; Oxalidales; Cephalotaceae
Rfam family: Plant small nucleolar RNA R71
About the family: R71 is a member of the C/D box family of snoRNAs containing the C (UGAUGA) and D (CUGA) box motifs.
Source: Rfam